UUAUGUACUCCUAAUAUAAUAAAUUGAAAAUGUAUAUAAAAUAAUUAUUUUUUUUUUGUUCACUUUUAUAGAGAAAAUGUAUUUAAGUCACCUUUUUAUAAAAACGUCUAAUAAAAUAAAUGUACAGAAUUUUUAUUGAUUUAAUUUUUUAUUUAAAUAAUUAAUCUUAAAUAUUAUCAAAAAAAACAAAAUAAUAAUAAUAAUGAACAGUAGAAUAUUAAGAGUUCAUGUAAUCCCAGUAGAAGACUGCUUCGUUCAUUUGUCAUCUAGUCUAAUUCGAGAACUUAAAAUAUUAUAUCCCAGUCACAAAGCUUGUUUAAAAGUAUCAACAAUUGAUAAAAAGCCAGGAAAACAAGAAUUUUUUACCUCUUAUUGUCAAACUCCAUUCAAUUCCAAUGGAAACGAAGCACUUAAUAUCAGUCAUGAAAUGUUAUCUGCCUUACAACUUCAAGAAUCUGAUCUUGUUACAGUUGCUAUUUUUGAUCAGAUAUCUUCAUUAGAAAGAAUAUAUGUAACACCUCUUACUAAUGAUGAUUGGGACCUACUAAUGUUGAACAAUGUUUCUCUUCAAGAUAAUAUUCUACAACAACUACAAAUAGUAUAUAAUAAACAAAUCUGUCCCAUUUGGGUAUCAAAAUUUGUACAUUUAAAGAUAAUUAUUGAUAAUAUAGGCGAAGGCCUCCAUGUUGGAUUAUUAAAAGAUUCAACAGAAAUAGUUGUUCAGCCAAAAUCUUUAAUUUCAUCUUAUAAUAAUAAUGUUAAAAUUAAUUUUUCCAAUCAAAAUUCCAGUUCUAAUAUUGCACACUCUAAUAGUUCGUGUAUAAAUUGUGAAAAAUUUAUUUUCCGGACGAUUCCAAUUGAACUAAUAUUAUUAGAAUAUGAUAAUAUUUACGAUUAUUCUGUGUUUAUUUCUAAAGAUCAUUUGAUUAAAUUAUUUCCUCAUGCAAUUAGUUUUACAUGUGGAGUUUUUUUUGUUGAAAUAAAGUUGUUACCUAAAAAAGUUGAAGUAGAGAAUAAAAGUUUAAAAGUUCUUGAGAAAAAUAGUUCUCCAAGCAAAAACAGUGUUGUUGUAGGUUUAUGUCCUUUAAUUAAAUCUAUGAGUAAUUAUAAAAAAAUAAAACAUUUGGUUUGGCCUACUAUAUAUGUAACAAAAGGUUUAAGUAAAUCAUUAGACUUGAAAGUUAAUUCAAAAGUUUUACUAGAACCAAUAAAUUCUGUUAAUGAUGAUAUUUGCAAUAUUCAAAAUGUUUUUAUAAAUUUAACUAAAGAUCAAAAAAAUUUUGAUGAAGACAAAAUAUUGAAAAAGUUUGUUACUCAAUUAAACAAUCAAAUAAAAUUUCAAAAAUGUUUAGCUAUCAAUAACUUAUCAUCAAUAAGAAUUUCAAAUAACGCAAUACCACCCAUUGAGAUAAUUUUGUCAUUUUCACCAAAAAGAAUACCUUAUUUGUUUAUCAAUGAAUAUAAUUUUGGAAUGCUAACAUUCAAUUAUAAUUACAUAGAUGAUGAUUUUAGUGUUAAAUUAAAAACCGAGGAUAACCAAAGUCAAGUUAUCGAAAACAAUUUUUCUUUGAAACAAGACUUUUUUGAUCUAAAAUGUUUUGAUGAAAUAAAGUUAAGUGGACUACUGUGUUUAGAACUUGGUUUGAAGUGUCAAGAUAAUUUAUCUUGUAGUCUUUUCUCUGCUGACAAUUUGUUAAUCAUAGGACCUAUUGCUGCAGGAAAAACAACAACUGCAAAAUAUUUUUGUGAUAAAUUUUUCAGUAGUCCAUAUUUUGUAAAAAUAAUUUGGGUAAAUGGACGUUUUUUAGCAGGAAAACUUAUGGACACUGUUUUCAAACAAAUGGUGAGUCAUUUUGAAGAGUGCUUGUAUUAUCAACCAGCAAUUAUAGUAAUCGAUGAUUUUGAUGAUUUAUGCCAUUUAAACUCUGAACCAAAUGAACAUGCAGAAAUGGCAAAUAUUUAUUUAAGGCCUCUACAUUUAAUGAUGAAAAUGAUUGAUUGUUAUACUAGUGGACAAAACUGUAUUAGAGUAAUAUGUACUUCAAAACCAUUUAGUCAAGAUAAUCAAAAUUUAUUUAAUAAACAAUUCAUAGAUGUUUUCAAAACUGUAAUAAAUAUUCCUAAAAUCGAUAAGGAGAGCAAAAAAAUAAUUGUAUCAAGAUGUUUAGCUAGAAUUAAACAAAAAGAUGAUGUUGAUGAAGAUUUUAUUAUGCAGCUUUGUGAAAAAAUGGAUUCUUAUGUCAUUCAAGAUAUUUUAGAUUAUUGUGAUAAAGUUUUAUUUGAAGUUUUUAAAAGCGAUGAAAAAAAAUUGAAUAAAACAAUUUUAACUGACAUUUUUGAAAAAACUGUACCUCUUUCACUGCAUAAUGUAAAAUUGUUUAAAGAAAAUAAAAUAAAUUAUUCACUAGUUGGUGGUUUAAUAGAAGCAAAACAAAUAUUAACUGAAACAAUCAUUUGGCCUUCAAUUCACUCUGAUAUUUUUAGUAAGUGCCCUCUUAAACUACAAUCUGGUAUUUUAUUAUAUGGUGCACCAGGUACAGGCAAGACAUUAUUAGCUAAAGCGGUUGGUGGAGAGAGCCGAUUGAAUUUUAUAUCUGUUAAUGGACCAGAAUUACUUUCAAAAUACGUUGGAGAAAGCGAAGAAAGUGUUAGGAGGGUAUUUCUUAGAGCUCAGAAUGCUAGACCUUGUAUAUUAUUUUUUGACGAAUUUGAAAGUGUAGCACCAAGACGAGGUUCAGAUCAAACUGGCGUAACUGAUCGAGUCGUUAAUCAGUUUCUCACACAAUUAGAUGGUAUUGAUACGUUUGAAGGUGUAUGGGUAAUAGCUGCAACUUCAAGGCCAGACCUCAUUGAUUCUGCAUUAUUAAGACCUGGUCGAAUUGGUGUAAAAUUACACUGUUCUAUUCCUGAUAAAAAUGACAGAGAGGAUAUUUUAAAAAUAAUCUGUAAAAAUGUAAAUUUGUCUGAAGACGUUAAAUUGAAUGUAAUAGCUGAUCAUACUGUAAAUUAUACUGGAGCAGAUUUGAAUGGAUUAUUGUACACCGUUUUAUCAAUAGCAGAUAAACAUUUUGAAAGUGAAAAAGAAUUGGAUGAUCUGUAUAAUAAAAAAAUGAUGCCUACUAAUGAGGAAGUAUCGUCUAUUGGAGGGCAAAGAUUUACCAUUACCGAACUCAUCAUGCGGUUGUUUGGGCCUCAAUAUUCGUCUCAUCGCUUGUCUGUAGAAUAGCACACUUGAUGUGUUGUAAUUAAAUCCUUUUAUGUACCGGUACUUGUCGCGAUCGUGUUUUUACGAGUACUUUGUUCGAAUUUUAAAAUUACUGCGGAACAUUUUCGAUUAGCCUUGGAACAAACUAAGCCAUCAUUAAGUAAAACAGAAAUUGACAAAUAUAAACGAA
This is an RNA transcript of Daktulosphaira vitifoliae (grape phylloxera), 3395 nucleotides long. It is a transcript of the gene named peroxisome biogenesis factor 1, with no coding region annotated. NCBI's taxonomy places the organism in Eukaryota, Metazoa, Arthropoda, Insecta, Hemiptera, Phylloxeridae. The record is from RefSeq and is a predicted model, not a curated record. The transcript has 20 exons.